RNAcentral lists this ribosomal RNA (252 nucleotides) under uncultured Bacteroidales bacterium. RNAcentral describes it as "partial 16S ribosomal RNA". It matches the Rfam family "Bacterial small subunit ribosomal RNA", at positions 524 to 776 of the family's 1533-position model. Lineage: Bacteria; Pseudomonadati; Bacteroidota; Bacteroidia; Bacteroidales. The record is from RNAcentral.
UACGUAGGGGGCAAGCGUUAUCCGGAUUUACUGGGUGUAAAGGGAGCGUAGACGGUAAUGUAAGUCUGAUGUGAAAGCCCGGGGCUCAACCCCGGCCCGCCGUUGAAACUGGCAGUCUCGAGUUGGAGAGAAGUAUGCGGAAUGCGCGGUGUAGCGGUGAAAUGCAUAGAUAUCACGCAGAACUCCGAUUGCGAAGGCAGCAUACCGGCGCCCAACUGACGCUGAUGCACGAAAGCGUGGGUAUCAAACAGG